UUCAAAUUUUGCUAUCUCUAUAUAAUAUAAUAUAUACAAAACCUGAUAUAAUGUCAUUUUUCCUGAAAAUGACUUGACAAAUCACCGAAUAAGAUAUACAAUUUUCUCGGUUCUUAUAUACUUUACAAAACCUGAUAUAAUGUCAUUUUCUUUCAAUUUUUUUACAAUGGAAUGUAGCCCAUAUCGCAGAGAUCAUUUUGGUAUUUGUUUUUAGGACUAUUUGCAAAAAUGACCUAACACUCAAAGUCAAACUUAAAACUAACCUAUGUUUUUUUGAAUUUUUUUUUAUCUUAUUUACCCCAUAAGUUAAUAUUAUUCAUGAAAAUGCCUUUAAUUUUUCUUUUUUUUUCAAAAAUGGUCUUUUUACUCUCAUCAUCUUUAAGUAUUUACAAGAUUACAAUUGCCAUCAAUACACAAAACCACCAUGAACAACCAAUUUAAAACUCUUAAUGC
Molecule: long non-coding RNA, 453 nt
Filed under: Brassica rapa (field mustard)
Lineage: Eukaryota; Viridiplantae; Streptophyta; Magnoliopsida; Brassicales; Brassicaceae
Description: long non-coding RNA (BRAP_LNC005002)
Source: RNAcentral